CCGAUUCCUGAACCUCCAUGAUUGAUUGAUCUCCAUCAUCUUCACGAUCUUCACGAUCGUGCACUAGUUCUGAAAGAAGAGACGUGAAUCUCUUCAUCGUCUUCACUCUCUAUACUUGUAUCUCGAAGGUUAUCCCGGUUUCUAUGUGCAUCGGAUCUCCAUAGAUGAACUCGGAUUUUGCAUUGAUCUGAAUCUCAAGCAUGCAUUAUUUCCAUAUUGUGCUGCCAAACUUGGUGUUUUUCUUCAUUUAUUCUUCACCACAACAGUUGGACAUAAAGGUUAGUCUCAAUGAAUCUUUACCAUUUGAAUUAGUUUAUUAAUGAUUUUUAAGUUAUUCAUUGAUGAAGUUAAGGCUAAUAGAUGAAAUUGGUUUGUUGAUUUUGAAACUCACGGCUGUUUGUGACAUGCUUUUAUCAAAAUUAGAGAAUGAAUAGAGGCUGACUAUGAUUACUAUAUCUAGAUAUAUGUUAUGGAAUAAUGGCAGUUGUAGUAAAUAAUACACAAUGGGUUACGGGAUAAUGUUGAUGCUUGUUGAUUUUUUUAAUAAAAGCUACAUAUAGAUAAGUAGAUGUAUAACCAGCCAUAAGUGUUUUUAGUGGCUCUUGAUGACAAGUUAUGAUGCCAUGUUCAUAUAUAUAUAUAUAUUAAUUUUUUCUUUUUUUAAUCCUAUCUAUGUUGUUGAUAUUAAUGCAUUGAAUUUGAUGUUACCUAAAACAAAAUUAUAUUCAUGUCCUCUAUUAUAAGUGGACAACCAUUCUUUAUGUUAGAUUUUAGAUAAAGAACGAAUAUUGAAGAUUGGAGUUGUAAGAAAUUAGGAGAUCCUAAUUUUAAAUAUGUAACAAAGUUCUAUAAUCACUUCAAUCCACAUUUAAAAAUUGUAUUUCUUUCUAAAAUGGGAUCAAACUUUUUCCUUCUUUCUUAUAAAUUUCAUUUGGGAAUGAUUUAAAAAUAAAUAAAUAAAAGCCCUUCUAAAUAUUAAAAAAACACUCUCUUAUAAAAUUUAAUUAGGUGGAUGGUUAGGUCAAAUUCGGGAUAGCUUCAUAUUUUUUGCUUUAACUGAAAAUUAAAAUCAAAAUUAAAGUAAUAAUUUUUAAGAUGUUGUAAAAGUUAUAUUAAACAUGAAAGAACUUAUUGUGUAAACAAAAAUAGAAUUAUAGAAUUCUUAUAAGAAAUAACAUUUUUAUGACUUCUAUAUGAAACUUUUUAAAAAAUUUAUCAGUUUUUCUUUUUAAAAAAUAAUUAAAUAGGUAUAAAAAACUUUUAUUCAACUUAAUUUUUUUUAACUCUUGAAAGUAAAUCCAAAUAAAAUUUAAAUAUAUUUGAAAAUCAUUUUCAAAAAUCCAAAAAAUCACCUAAAAAUAAUUUCAAAUUUUUUUUAUUUACAUUUAAAUACUAAGUGAUUCUUUUAAAAAUCAUUUGUAAUGUCAAAAUAUUUUUUUAUGGAUAAAAAUAUUACAAAUAAAAAACAUUUCAAUCACAAUUAAUUUAUUUUUAAUUCAUGAAAUUUCAUUUAUUGUUACUUAUUUUUUGGGAUUUAAUUCUUUACAAUUAUUUUUGAGUGUUUACAUAGAAUAAUUAGGUUAUGCCCAAAUUUAUUCCUUUAACUCUAUCCAUCAGAUAUAAGUAUCGUGAAAUUUUGGCCUGUCUCCACCUUUCUUCGCUUUUGACAUUGUCAUGCACUGCUUCCUCAACUCCAAACACAACCGCUGAGGAUCGAAGAAAAUGAGACAAUGGUCAAUGAAUAAUUUAUUAAUUUUUUUCUUAAUUUAAUAGCAUUGGAAUGUCAGUUGGAACAAACCAUUUGAUGAUCUUUUUCAUAAGUAUCCAUUUAGAUCAUAGUCUUUUUAAAAUAUUAGAAUAAAUCAAUUAGUCUAAGCUAUAUCAUUUAUAAUUUUUUUAUUAUUAAUAUGAUACCUAUCCUUUCACGGAAUUGAAAUAAAAUAUGAAUAAUUAAAAAAUGUCAACUAUCCAUGAUAUUUGAUACCAAACUUUUCUAAUACAACAUGAUAUCAUGUUGAAUGAAAUGGGAAUCACCAAAUGUUCUCAAAUCAAAGAUAUAUCUACAGGGGACACGUCAAAUUCUCUUUUUAUAAUCAAAGGCUUCCAAAAAAAUUCAACCAUAGCAUAUCUCAAAGAUUAGUCAAAUUCCAUUAUUUUUAUAGACUUCUAACAAUUCAAGAAAUUGACAUUAAUAAUCCCAAACACAAUAUUCUGCAACUUUACAUUAUUCUUUUUAUUGUAAUUGAAGAGGAAUACCAACUUAGUCAAAUAGAAAAUAAAUCAUGAAAGCUGAAUAAUACAAAUAUUCAGUGAAAUCUUUGGCAUGUUAUUUCUUUGCAGCUUCAACAUGGUGGCAUGUCGGAUGGAGGAGGCAGCAUUUGAGCUUCUGGGUGUUU
Molecule: long non-coding RNA, 2396 nt
Filed under: Vitis vinifera (wine grape)
Lineage: Eukaryota; Viridiplantae; Streptophyta; Magnoliopsida; Vitales; Vitaceae
Description: long non-coding RNA (VVIN_LNC006213)
Source: RNAcentral